RNAcentral lists this non-coding RNA (57 nucleotides) under Sus scrofa (pig). The record is from RNAcentral. Lineage: Eukaryota; Metazoa; Chordata; Mammalia; Artiodactyla; Suidae.
CGCCGGGCCCGCCUUCCACGCCGGCCAGUGAGGGCGCGGAGGGCGGGGCCUGGCGGG